GGCAAGGGAACGAAGGCAGCGGGAGAGCGAGUCCAGGCGGUUGAAUGCAAGGACUUUGAUGAGGAAAGUGAAUGUGGGGGUGUUUUGGGGACUGAGUGGUUUGUUAUCAUUAUUUGUUGGACUAAAAUUAGGGUUAGGAUUAGGGCUUAAAUGGGUGAUGGGAAGAGAGGAAUGAUAAUGGGAAAAAAAGAAGAGCACAAAUAGGGAUAGAAGGAAGAUUAGAGGGAGGAAAUGUUUCUUCGGUGCACCCACCAUUUGUCUUCUUAUAGUUAUGGCCAGGAAAGGAAAGGCAUUGCAGGAUAUAGGGAGAGAGCAAGAGAGAAGAAAGUUAAAGAGAAGGUCAGGAGGUGGAUAAUUCUGAGAGAUAUGUCUUUGUCUUUUUCAUAAAAGUAAUUAUUGCUGAUGUUUUCAGCUAAUAAAUCUUCAAACCCUCUGAAAAAAUCGACGCUGGCGAAGGUGAGGUUGAUUUAG
This 471-nucleotide unclassified non-coding RNA is filed under the name Hevea brasiliensis (rubber tree). The record is from RNAcentral. Lineage: Eukaryota; Viridiplantae; Streptophyta; Magnoliopsida; Malpighiales; Euphorbiaceae.